Cinara cedri is the source of this 373-nucleotide non-coding RNA. NCBI's taxonomy places the organism in Eukaryota, Metazoa, Arthropoda, Insecta, Hemiptera, Aphididae. The record is from the annotation of a GenBank genome assembly.
UAAUGCGUCGUCGACCCGCCCUCCGAGUCGCGGAUAUCCGGCCGAAGGCUAAAAUCUGUGUUUGUCAAAUACACGCCCGACACUAUACACAGCAACGCACUGCAGGAUCCGAGUGUGUUUAAAAACCAAUAUAUAUUUAUGUGUAUAACAGACGUGUGUGAGUGUAUAUAUAUAUACAUAUAUUUUUACGUACCAAUUAAAUAUGUGUGACACUGGCGACCAAUACGUACAGUCGUCGGUAAUAUUAUUACACACUCCCGAUCCCCUUAUUUAUACCUAGCAAUAACGCACGCACGCACGCGUAUGUGUACGUAUGCGCGCGCAUUAUAUUCCCUUGUUGACCAAUAAUUAUUUUUACUCGAUUAUGUUUUUU